Molecule: ribosomal RNA, 253 nt
Filed under: uncultured bacterium
Lineage: Bacteria
Description: partial 16S ribosomal RNA
Rfam family: Bacterial small subunit ribosomal RNA
Source: RNAcentral
UACGUAGGGCGCAAGCGUUGUCCGGAAUUAUUGGGCGUAAAGAGCUCGUAGGCGGUUUGUCGCGUCUGCUGGGAAAACUCGAGGCUCAACCUCGGGCUUGCAGUGGGUACGGGCAGACUAGAGUGCGGUAGGGGUGACUGGAAUUCCUGGUGUAGCGGUGGAAUGCGCAGAUAUCAGGAGGAACACCGAUGGCGAAGGCAGGUCACUGGGCCGCAACUGACGCUGAGGAGCGAAAGCAUGGGGAGCGAACAGG